This 65-nucleotide transfer RNA is filed under the name Tribolium audax (American black flour beetle). Its description in RNAcentral is "tRNA-His". Lineage: Eukaryota; Metazoa; Arthropoda; Insecta; Coleoptera; Tenebrionidae. The record is from RNAcentral.
AUCUAAGUAGUUUAAAUUAAAAUUUUGAUUUGUGGAGUCAAAGAUAUACUGAUAUAUUUUAGAUA